This 521-nucleotide long non-coding RNA is filed under the name Vitis vinifera (wine grape). RNAcentral's name for it is "long non-coding RNA (VVIN_LNC003731)". Lineage: Eukaryota; Viridiplantae; Streptophyta; Magnoliopsida; Vitales; Vitaceae. The record is from RNAcentral.
UGAUGUUGAGAUGCAACAGUUUGUGCCUCAUUCAAGAACCGAUGAAAAGUUGGCAAGCACUAAAACAAGCGAAGAACCUGAUCCUGAUGAUUUGGAAGUUUCUGUGAAGCAGCAUCUUGUGGUUGAGCCUGAACCUGAAAACUCUCAAUUGCUCAAGACUCUGGACAGCAAAGUUCAGAUGAUGAAGACCCUUGAUGAACCUGAUCCAGAUGAUUCUGAAGUAAAAAGGAAUGGUUUGGGAUGUGGAAAUAUUUCUAGACUUGAUCAUGGUAAUUCUUUGGUGAUGAAAACCAUGGAAGAUCAAUGCCCACAAAGAAAGGGUUAUAAAGAACCAGAUCCGGAUGAUUCUCAAGCAAAUGGAGUCAUGGCAGAACCUGAUCCAGAUGAUAAUUUGGUACACCCACUGGACACUUCCAUAAUGCACACUGAUGAGCCAGAUCCUGAUGAUGAAGAAUUGCAGAGAAUCCAAGACCCUGUUACUGUUGUUUGUAAUCGCCUGCAAAAGGCCAUUGAGAUGCUGC